This is a non-coding RNA of Macaca mulatta (Rhesus monkey), 1749 nucleotides long. Lineage: Eukaryota; Metazoa; Chordata; Mammalia; Primates; Cercopithecidae. The record is from RefSeq and is a predicted model, not a curated record.
GUGAUUCUUCUGCCUCAGUCUCCCGAGUAGCUGGGACUACAGCUUACACUUGGCAAUCCUCUAGGGAGGACUUUGGCUGAACCCAGUGAACCAGGAGGAAAAGAAUCACAACGUCUGGAGUUUGUUGACUAGAAAAAUUCCCUGUGGUCUGACAGAUUACCAUUUCCCACCCAACCAUUCUCAUCAGAGAAACCAGUCCCAUUUUCAACUGGCACGGCUAGUUGAAAGUUCUGCAUGUUUCCCCAGUGCUAAUCUCUGGCUGCCUUCAUUUCUGGGUUCCAUCAAUUGAAGAGGAAAAGUAACAGAUUCUCCAAGUGCUCAGGUCUUAUCUUCUCAUGGUUGCAAGAUGGCUGUCGUAACUCCAGGCAUCACACUUCACACAACUACAUUCAAGAUGGAAAAAAAUAGUUUUCUUCUCACGUAUUUUCAUCAGAAGGAAGGCAUUUCAAAACCUCCUUAUCAGACUUCUAUGGGGCCAUUUCUCAGAAUCAGGUCACAUGAUCUGGCAGCAAGGACUGGGAAAAUGAGUAGAUGAUGGUACUUUAAUCUUCUAUAGUAAGAGAUGGUUUUGAUAGCAAGUGAUAUUUUGGAAUGUUAUGGUCUGUGGUAAGAAACCAGUGGUGUUUACCACAAUUAACUCUUUAAAUUUACCUUCUGGUCUUGAGCUCCAGACUCAUAUAACCAGUUGCUACUGGAAAUUUCUAUUUGGAAGACCCGCUAAUAUCUCAAAUUCAAUGUAUCUGCCCUUUCUCCCUGUCCCUGGCUCUUCUCCAUACUCCAUCUCAGGGAACAGCACCACCAUCUAUGCAGCUGUCAAGCCAAGAAUCUCGGUGUCAUCUUUGCCUCCUCUCUUUCUUAUCCUUUUUCAUCACCUUAUAUGAUUGCUUCCAUCACCUAAAGGCCCCUCACAUCCACCCACUUCUCUCCAUCUUUAUGUCCUCAUUGCCACUAUCCUGUGUUGUCCAUUUCUGAACUCCAGAACAGUGCUUAACUCAGAGCAGUAAGUCAAUCUGUGGGAUGGAUGUUUCCAAAUGGGAAACAAACAUUUUAAGAUAAACAAUGACUACUAUCUUGCCUUAUCAAUUAGCCUCUUUUCACCCAUUUUUUGUUGGGUGGGUGGAAGGCCAGAUGCAGCAGGGUGGGUUAUUGACAGAAGAGAAUUAUAAAGGAUAUAAAGUAUUUUAACUCUCUGUCGGUCCUAUACUAGCCUGUGUCUCUCUCCUUGUGCUCCCUUCAUAUUAAGAAACAGAGGAUGUUGUCCGGGAGGUCAUAAUAACCUAACUGAGUAAAAUUCUGAAAGCCAAUUUUCGAUUCCCAAGCGUAUUGGCUAUCUAGAAUUUCCAAGGAACUUGAUGUAUCAGGGUAAUGCAGAAAAGCAGGACCUCAAGCACCAGGGUUUUAUAGCACCUAUAAAACAUGUUUUACAGUUUCUGUUCAAUUUUAUGCUGUUAAGCUAAAUAUUUGACAUCAUAUGGCACUUCAAGCACAUUGAUUUAUGGUAAGUCAGCAAUUGCAUCUGUAAUAAAAAGUCCAAAGUAUGGGUUUUAAAAGUAAUCUACUGUAUUUAUUAUUGACAUAAACAGUUACCUGCAGUCCAUUUGAACAUCAUCUUAGGUUUAACUCAUGUAUUAAAGAUAUUAUGUUUUCCACUCAGCAAGGUCACCUUGAAGGUGAAAACUGUAUGUGGUUGAAAAUGAAAAAGAUUAAAUGUAUAAAGAUAAAUAUUUUGAAAAUAAAUGAUAUAUAGUA